RNAcentral lists this transfer RNA (77 nucleotides) under candidate division WWE3 bacterium CG10_big_fil_rev_8_21_14_0_10_32_10. RNAcentral's name for it is "tRNA-Pro". It matches the Rfam family "tRNA". Rfam says of the family: Transfer RNA (tRNA) molecules are approximately 80 nucleotides in length. Their secondary structure includes four short double-helical elements and three loops (D, anti-codon, and T loops). The record is from RNAcentral. Lineage: Bacteria; candidate division WWE3.
CGGGGCGUGGCGCAGUUGGCUAGCGCGUGCGCAUGGGGUGCGCAAGGCCGCAGGUUCAAGUCCUGUCGCCCCGACCA